This is a long non-coding RNA of Ictalurus punctatus (channel catfish), 2229 nucleotides long. Lineage: Eukaryota; Metazoa; Chordata; Actinopteri; Siluriformes; Ictaluridae. The record is from Ensembl.
CUUCAAGUAGUUGUUUCAAGAACUACGAUCCUCUGAAGAAGUGUUUGGCAGCCCGAGCAGCAAACACUCUUUCUUUUGUCGGUGUGGACCCAGUUGUGUUGUCCCUUUUCAGGAAUGAGAGAGAAAAACCCUUUCAUGUUGUAAUCUUUCAGUCCCAAAAAUCUCGGGUUUGAGUGUAGCUGCAAAAUUUGGUUGUUUCGAGCACUUUGCUGAACAGCUGAAGUGAAAAUAAGAAGUUAGAAUGUAAAAGCAAGGGAGCGAAGCACGGAGCAGUAAGCAAAAGCGUCCGAACGGUACCGAAGCAGGAAGUAAGACACAGUAAAAACAUCUGGCUGCGCUGGACGCUUAUCGGAUUCUGCCAUGCUUUUGUUUCCAAACAGACUGAGAUGGAGGUGCUGUGAAGUGGUGUUAGGGUGUGUCUAGGAAAAGACUGACAGGACGGCCUUGCAAACACAAGACGAGCACUCUGGACCGUAACGUUCUCCAAUCGGGGUUUUUCAGCCUCGUAAUGUACUUGUGCUGACGCCAUUGCUUGAACAGUUAUUAUUAUUUAUCAUGCUCUACACAUCUUCAAGGUCGUUUGUACUAGUAUGAAACGAAACAAUUGCCUUAUUUGAGUGUAUUAGAGUCUCUACAGGUCUGUAAAAGCUCAAGCAAGAGAAAUAUAUUAGUAUAUUAACCUAUAUAUUAGGUUACUCGGUGAUGCUAAUGGUCCGGACACCAGACAGGACACAGUGGCCAUAUUUGGCAAUGGGAUGAUGAUGAUGAUGAUGAUGAUGAUGAUGAUGGGAUGAUGGUGGUCUUUAGUAAAGGAGGCUGAUGUGAUGACGAUCCUAGUAAUAACAUCAUCAUCUACACACCUCCUGAGGCGGUCACAGAUGCUGUAUAAUUCUCCAAAGUAGCAGCCUUCCUGAACAUAUUCCAGUGCUGGAAUUUAAUCCAAAGCCUUUAUUAUUAUUAAUUUUUUUAAAGUCAAAAAUAUCCUGCACUCCUCCACUGGGGCUAAACUGAUAAGUGAAUGGGUAAUCCGAGAGCACCUCCUCCAGGGAAGAGACCCCGAGGUGUGAUGUGUGUUCACUUCCUGAGAAACUGAGUGACAGCGAUCAGAGCAGACUGAUGGAGCCGUGCUCAGACACAGAAACACGAGCUUAAUAUUUCCCCAAGGAAAAUCACAGGCUCUAUUUUCCCCCUCGGGAUACAGACACAUCAAACGUCGCAGAAUAGAUCGAGAAGGCGAGCGGUGGGCCUCGAGAAUACUUCAAAUGCCACCGUUACUGACAAGAAGUCAGACAGGGAUAGGAAAACGGCUUCUCCUGCAGAUUAUGCCGCAAACCUUUUUCGCUAAUGUGUUCAUCUGACACGUGAGAUGGAACGAUGUGCAAUCAAAGAAAAAGAGAGCGCGAGAGAGAGAGAGUGACCGAGAAAAGUGGACAUGCAUUAUUUGUUGUGCCAUCCAAGUCAAAUGUUUCCACUCAUCACAAUAGUAACGUAAGAUUCUCCUCAUUACUAUAAUCUCAUACUGUAUCUACAGUGACGACGUUCACAUGCACAGCAGUAAUCUGAUGAUGGACCUUAUUCUGAAUAAGACGUAUAAUAUUCUGAUUAAGGUGUUUACACGAGUCGCUUUUAGAGUAUUCCUUUCAUGUGAUAGAACGUAGACGGAUUAACGUCACGUCAUUACGUCCCCGCGCCACGCCGUCCGACGUUCCCUCCGGAAUUUCACGUAUCGACGUACAGUUUUGGGUGUUUUCAUUUUAAUUGUACGAACGCUUCAAGUGCGGUUUAUUAUUUGUCGUGCUGUACGUGCUGAUAGACGACUGCUUGACGCCGUGGGCUGCGUCCCAAACCGCGUACUUGCCUACUAUAUAAUAUAUAGAGAUACAUGUGUUUCUCAUGUAAGUACGCGGUUUGGGACGCAGCCGUGCUCUCUUGUUCGCCGUCAGACGGUCGAGCGCUGCCGUGUGUGUACGUGUCCUGUCGCACAAUGCGGUGAAAACUCUCACACGACGUUAAUAGCGUGAUUAAGGUGUGUACGUGUCUGUAACGCACGUCGAUAACGCGACUAAAACAGGAAUACUCCACACGUCUUCAUUCCAUCUGUGUUUACUCCGAGUGUGACUUUAAUCAGAUUAAGGUCAUCGAUAAUCUCUGUUUACAUGCUCGUGUCUUAAUCAGAGUAUCGUCUUAAUCGGGUAAAUAUCGGAUCAUUGUACUGAUGGUCUCUCCUCC